This 1494-nucleotide ribosomal RNA is filed under the name metagenome. RNAcentral's name for it is "bacterial SSU rRNA". It matches the Rfam family "Bacterial small subunit ribosomal RNA". The record is from RNAcentral.
AGAGUUUGAUCCUGGCUCAGAACGAACGCUGGAGGCGUGCCUAAUACAUGCAAGUCGCACGAGAAAGUCCUUCGGGAUGAGUACAGUGGCGCACGGGUGAGUAAUACAUAGGAACGUACCUUUUGGUGGGGAACAACCACGGGAAACUGUGGCUAAUACCGCAUAGUCUUGAAAAAGUAAAGAUGGCCUCUGUUUACAAGCUAUCGCCAAAAGAGCGGCCUAUGUCCCAUUAGCUAGUUGGUAAGGUAAUGGCUUACCAAGGCAACGAUGGGUAGCUGGUCUGAGAGGACGAUCAGCCACACUGGAACUGAGAUACGGUCCAGACUCCUACGGGAGGCAGCAGUAGGGAGUAUUGCGCAAUGGGCGAAAGCCUGACGCAGCAACGCCUCGUGAGUGAAGAAGGCCUUCGGGUUGUAAAGCUUUUUCGACAGGGGUGAAGGGUGGUAUGGUAAAUAAUCAUAUCAUCUGACGGUACCUGAUGAAGAAGCACCUGCUAACUCCGUGCCAGCAGCAGCGGUAAUACGGAAGGUGCAAGCGUUGUUCGGAAUUACUGGGCGUAAAGAGCACGUAGGCGGAUUUGUAAGUCGAGUGUUAAAUCCCUGGGCUUAACCCAGGACUUGCAUUCGAAACUACAAACCUUGAAUGCCAGAGAGGGUGGGAGAAUUCCUGGUGUAGAAGUGAAAUUCGUAGAUAUCAGGAGGAAUACCUGAGGCGAAGGCGCCUGCCUGGCUGUGCAUUGACGCUGAGGUGCGAAAGCGUGGGGAGCAAACAGGAUUAGAUACCCUGGUAGUCCACGCCGUAAACGAUGGAUACUAGGUGUUCGGAGUGUUAACCCUCUGAGUACCGAAGCUUACGCACUAAGUAUCCCGCCUGGGGAGUACGGUCGCAAGGCUAAAACUCAAAGGAAUUGACGGGGGUCCGCACAAGCGGUGGAGUAUGUGGUUCAAUUCGACGCAACGCGAAGAACCUUACCUGGGUUUGAAGUCUCUUGACAACCUCAGAGAUGAGGCUUUCCCUUCGGGGACAAGAUGAUAGGUGCUGCAUGGCUGUCGUCAGCUCGUGUCGUAAGAUGUUGGGUUAAGUCCCGCAACGAGCGCAACCCCUGUUCCUAGUUACCACCAUUAAGUUGGGGACUCUAGGAAGACUGCCGGUGUUAAACCGGAGGAAGGCGGGGAUGACGUCAAGUCCUCAUGGCCCUUAUGUCCAGGGCGACACACGUACUACAAUGGCAGAGACAAAGCGACGCGAAACCGCGAGGUGGAGCCAAUCGCAAAAACACUGUCCAAGUCCGGAUUGAAGUCUGCAACUCGACUUCAUGAAGCUGGAAUCGCUAGUAAUCGCAGAUCAGAACGCUGCGGUGAAUACGUUCCCGGGCCUUGUACACACCGCCCGUCACACCACGAAAGUGGUUAUAACCAGAAGUGUGUGAGCCAACCGCAAGGAGGCAGCAUACCAAGGUUGUAGCCGUGAUUGGGGUGAAGUCGAAACAAGGUA